RNAcentral lists this long non-coding RNA (1211 nucleotides) under Pan troglodytes (chimpanzee). RNAcentral's name for it is "long non-coding RNA NONPTRT008075". The record is from RNAcentral. Lineage: Eukaryota; Metazoa; Chordata; Mammalia; Primates; Hominidae.
GCGGAUCACGAAGUCAGGAGAUGGAGACCAUCCUGGCCAACAUGGUGAAAUUCCGUCUCUACUAAAAAUACAAAACUUAGCUGGGUGUGACUAUGCGCCUGUAGUCCUAGCUACUCGGGAGGGAGGCAGAGGCAGGAGAAUCACUUGAAUCUGGGUGGCGUAGGUUGCCGUGAGCCAAGAUGGCGCCACUGCACUCACUCCAGCCUGGGUGACAGGGCGGGACUCCGUCUCAAAAAACAAAACAAAACAAAACAAAAGAGCUAACUCAUGUUAAGCAAGUAUUCUAUUAACUUUUGGGGUGGGUUUUCUUAUUCUUCAGGACAACCACAUGUUGGAGCUGAUACUCCUAUUACUAUUUUAGUGAUGAGAAAACUGAGCCAUAUUAGUAACUGCCUGAUCAUUUUCUCCUAUGUUCUCUACCUCCCGUGUCUUGACCAACCUCAGAUUUAUACUGUCACCAUUAAAGAAGCUCUGGAUUGGGUGAUGUGGACUCUUUCUUAGGCUUAGAACGUGGGAAUGGAGUGAGGAGAAUCUGUUCAAGAGAAGACUGUGCAACCCAAUUUGAGACCUAGAUCAACAUUCCCAAAAUGGGGGCCUGGUGGGAAAGCUUGUGUCUGAUUCUGCCUUCCUUAAGAAGUGCCACACCUCCGCAAUCAACUCUGUACAGCUUAGUUCACUGGGGCUUGAAUUCCACUGUUCUCCAAAUUUUGUUUGAGGGUGUUUGUAGCACAGUUUGGAAGCUGAAAUGAAGGGACAGGAAGGUUUAUUAAUGUAUGUCACUGAGAACACUAAAGCCUCCUUUUCCCCUCUCUGGAUUUUCUAGCGUUUGAACUUCUCAGAUAGAGGAACCCCAGUGAAGACUGAUCAGUUCUUACAGUUCUCAAAGCAUGGCCCAUAAAUAUGUGGGUCUGCAGUAUCAGGGAUCAGUGACAUUUGAGGAUGUGGCCAUAGCCUUCUCCCAGCAGGAGUGGGAGAGUCUGGACUCUUCCCAGAGGGGCUUGUACAGAGAUGUGAUGUUGGAGAACUACAGGAACUUGGUGUCAAUGGCAGGACAUUCCCUUUCUAAACCACAUGUGAUCGCCUUAUUGGAACAAUGGAAAGAGCCUGAAGUGACAGUGAGGAAAGAUGGAAGAAGAUGGUGCACAGGUGAGUAAGAGCAUGGCAGGUAGGGAGGCCAUUGUUGCUGGAAACAGCCCAGCUGUCAGGGAGGA